Molecule: signal recognition particle RNA, 288 nt
Filed under: Neogale vison (American mink)
Lineage: Eukaryota; Metazoa; Chordata; Mammalia; Carnivora; Mustelidae
Description: Neovison vison (American mink) Metazoan signal recognition particle RNA (ENSNVIG00000011018.1)
Rfam family: Metazoan signal recognition particle RNA
About the family: The signal recognition particle (SRP) is a universally conserved ribonucleoprotein.
Source: RNAcentral
GCCGGGCGCGGUGGCGCGCGCCUGUAGUCCCAGCUACUCGGGAGGCUGAGGCAGGAGGAUCGCUUGAGCCCAGGAGUUCUGGGCUGUAGUGCGCUCUGCCGAUCGGGUGUCCGCACUAAGUUCAGCAUCAAUAUGGUGACCUCCCGGGAGCGGGGACCACCAGGUUGCCUAAGGAGGGGUGAACCGGCCCAGGUCGGAAACGGAGCAGGUCAAAAGCAAAAAUUUAAUAAAAAAUGGUCAAGGGGGGUGGGGCGCCUGGGUGGCUCAGUGGGUUAAGCCGCUGCCUUC